Molecule: long non-coding RNA, 1661 nt
Filed under: Triticum aestivum (bread wheat)
Lineage: Eukaryota; Viridiplantae; Streptophyta; Magnoliopsida; Poales; Poaceae
Description: long non-coding RNA (TAES_LNC003832)
Source: RNAcentral
GACAACAUUAAAAUUUUAAUAAAAAUGCGGACGAACAACAUUAUAGGUUUAGUGUUCAGGAUGGAACAUUGUGAUCGAAGGAAUGAGGAUGUACGGAUUAUUGGAGUCAUCUCUUUACAACAAGGGGUGAUAUUAUGCCUACAAUGAGAAGGCACCACCUCGGAAAAUAGAAAUUGAAUUCCUCAAAGUGCGAUAGAAGGAUCCAGCGAUAUAAGGUACAUGACAAUUGAAUAACACAACAACUGCAGUAACAUAGACAAAAUCAAGUUCGACAACUCACUGAAUGACGUGUGACGCUCACGAUAACUAUUCAUAAUCUCUCCUGAAACAGAAUUUAAUACUCAGACAUACUCGUAUUUUCUGUAACAGCUUUGUGGGAGUCAACUUCCAGGCUUUGAUCGCCUUGUGCAAAGAGCCAACCCAGAAACCUUGUCAAUCAACCCAGGGCCGUGUCCUGGUUGCUAUUGAGUAUCGAGUACAACCCUGGAGCAAGCUGAAUUCAUUUCUUCCUACAUGUUCAGGGUAUCUCGCUUGAAAGCAUCCUCUCGAACUGCUAAAGUAAAUAAGUUAGACAUAUAAACAACAUGGAACCACUAAUUUCAGAAUUAUUUCUACUGAUUCUCCCACGAGUUAAGAACAUGGUGCAUAAGAAAGCAAGUAGGCACGAAAUCUAUUAUCAAUUGCGAAAUCAGGGAGAUCAUGUCAAAACAGAUGUACCAUGAUGAAAAAAAUGCAAAUAGAUCAGAGGCAUGAGUAGUACAACCGGUUAAAAAAUGUCGACAACAUGUAGCAUGGCAAGGUAAAACAGAACUGCAUCAGACCAUCAUUACAUUACAUAGUGAGGUGUAGACAACCAAUAACGUUAAACUAGUUUGUCAUUGUCAAUCUCAAUCACUUCAGAGUAUCAUCAACUCAAUACCGAUAGCUAUCUUCAUACUCUAAACUCUAAAGACAUAAGAAUAUAACCUCAAGCAAGAGUUGGUCAACAAACAUCCACUUAGUGUAGAAUUACUGUUCACAUAGAUGCACAGCACCUGGCUGUAGUUCUCUCAUAAAUCAGAGAAUUGGGCAGUGCCACACACACAACUAUGGCAGAAUUCAUCUUUAGCCGUAACGAAAAGCAAUGCCAACUUGGGCAGAGCUGCUAUGCUCCUGGUUAAAUAAAGUGCACUAACUGACUUAACACUAGGAAUAUACCCAAGGUACAAGACUUGGUCAACAAACCAAGCAACUAAGCAUUAAGGACACAUCACAAACUCAUGAACUGCUCAUAUGCAGAACACAUAUGCACCGCACCUACACAUGAUUAGUGCAGAAAUACUAUUCACAAAGAUGCACCGCAGCUGCACGGCUACACCAAUCAAAUUGUGCACAUGGGUGCUAUGGGAGCACACAUGUAUACUAAAUCAUCAGGGAAUAAACCAUUUACACAGAUCAGAUGCAUCAGAAGAAAAACACUAACAAUCAUGUUUAGGUAUAUAUAGCAACAGUUGCAUGAUUUACGGGUAACCAGGUAUAGUAGAAAGACUAUGUUUAACUGGAAAACUAUUAUAGUUAGCAGGCCAACAUUAACUAAAUCCUGUUGAACAGUAGAAGAGGUAGCAGAUUAUACAGAGAAGAGUAGGAGGACCAGGAAUUCACAUUUGACGGUUGUAGCCGAG